UACGUAGGUGGCAAGCGUUGUCCGGAAUUAUUGGGCGUAAAGCGCGCGCAGGCGGUUUCUUAAGUCUGAUGUGAAAGCCCACGGCUCAACCGUGGAGGGUCAUUGGAAACUGGGGAACUUGAGUACAGAAGAGGAGAGCGGAAUUCCACGUGUAGCGGUGAAAUGCGUAGAGAUGUGGAGGAACACCAGUGGCGAAGGCGGCUCUCUGGUCUGUAACUGACGCUGAGGCGCGAAAGCGUGGGGAGCAAACAGG
RNAcentral lists this ribosomal RNA (253 nucleotides) under uncultured bacterium. RNAcentral's name for it is "partial 16S ribosomal RNA". It matches the Rfam family "Bacterial small subunit ribosomal RNA", at positions 524 to 776 of the family's 1533-position model. The record is from RNAcentral.